CCGACGUCCUGGACACCUGGUUCUCCUCCGGCCUGUGGCCGUUCUCCACGCUGGGCUGGCCCGAGCAGACCGAC
RNAcentral lists this transfer RNA (74 nucleotides) under Streptomyces mutabilis. The record is from RNAcentral. Lineage: Bacteria; Bacillati; Actinomycetota; Actinomycetes; Kitasatosporales; Streptomycetaceae.